Molecule: ribosomal RNA, 299 nt
Filed under: uncultured Mycoplasma sp.
Lineage: Bacteria; Bacillati; Mycoplasmatota; Mollicutes; Mycoplasmatales; Mycoplasmataceae
Description: partial 16S ribosomal RNA
Rfam family: Bacterial small subunit ribosomal RNA
Source: RNAcentral
GAUUAACGCUGGCGGUAUGCCUAAUACAUGCAAGUCAAACGGCCAAUUUAUUGGCAGUGGCGAACGGGUGAGUAACACGUACUUAAUCUACCCAUAAGACGGGGAUAACAGUUGGAAACGACUGCUAAUACCGGAUGUGAUGCUUUAGCAAAAGUUGAAGUAUUAAAGAUGCGUUUGCAUCGCUUAUGGAUGAGAGUGCGCUACAUUAGCUAGUUGGUGAGGUAAGAGCUCACCAAGGCAACGAUGUAUAUCUGGGGUGAGAGCCCGAACAGACACACUGGGACUGAGAUACGGCCCAG